CCCUUAGAUGUUCUGGGCCGCACGCGCGCUACACUGACACGUUCAUCAAGUCUAUAACCUUGACCGAGAGGUCUGGGUAAUCUUUUAAAAACGUGUCGUGCUGGGGAUAGAUUAUUGCAAUUAUUAAUCUUCAACGAGGAAUUCCUAGUAAACGCAAGUCAUCAACUUGCAUUGAUUACGUCCCUGCCCUUUGUACACACCGCCCGUCGCUACUACCGAUUGAAUGAUUUAGUGAGUACCAGGGACCGAGCGCUUUGGUUGGGUUUCCUUCCCUAGCGCUUGGGAACUGUCGCAAACUUGACCAUUUAGAGGAAGUAAAAGUCGUAACA
This 329-nucleotide ribosomal RNA is filed under the name uncultured eukaryote. RNAcentral describes it as "partial 18S ribosomal RNA". It matches the Rfam family "Eukaryotic small subunit ribosomal RNA", at positions 1470 to 1796 of the family's 1831-position model. The record is from RNAcentral.